Molecule: non-coding RNA, 179 nt
Filed under: Zetaproteobacteria bacterium
Lineage: Bacteria; Pseudomonadati; Pseudomonadota; Candidatius Mariprofundia
Description: 6S RNA
Rfam family: 6S / SsrS RNA
About the family: E. coli 6S RNA was the first non coding RNA to be sequenced, but its function was unknown until recently.
Source: RNAcentral
GUACCCCUGCGCUGAGCGAGUGGCCUUAUGUUGCCUGAGCCGAUGCAUGUCGAUUGGGAGCUUGUCUAUACUGAUGGUGUGAAUGCCGCUUGUCCGGGAUACCUAAAAUCAGUGUGCGGCGCCCCCCUCGUGUUCGAGGGUUCGACGACUUACCGCCAAUACGCCAGAGCGGGGGUACU